RNAcentral lists this long non-coding RNA (353 nucleotides) under Gallus gallus (chicken). Lineage: Eukaryota; Metazoa; Chordata; Aves; Galliformes; Phasianidae. The record is from RNAcentral.
GCUCGUCUGUGGUUGCUCAAAUGCUUCUUUAGGAAUUUUCAGCCCAGGGUUUCUCUUUUUGCCUCUCGACUGAGACAUUUUCCCCUUUGCUUUGAUGGGGGAGGGGAGCACAAAAGACUUUGCCUUGCCUCUCUUCUGGAGCUAGUUUUGCAACAAAGAUGCAAACUGCAAGCGCUCAAUCUUCAUGCAACUGGAGUUUUCCUGACUCGCUGCAGCAGCUCUCCUUGCAGCGGGGGGCCGUGCAAUUGCACACUUUGCAGGGCAGCUUGCAGCGCGGGGGGUUUCCUCCCCCCCUGCUUGCAGUGCUGGGGAAGGCUCUGCUGCACCUACAUGAUGGGCCAGGGCUGGCAGCU